UUACAAGCGUUGCACGGCUGUCUUCAGUUAAUGUCGUGAGAUAUUGGUUAAUUCCAUUAAAUUAACGGAAACCCUUGCUUUAUUUGCGAUUUAAUCUAAAUAAAGCAGUUCACCUUUAUAUCGGAUAUGAUAACAGGGACCAAGACAAGUCAUCAUGGCCUAAAUGUUGUGGGCGAUAGACGUGCCACAUAUUCCUAUACAAAAUGAUGCGAUAAUGUGAAUUGGAGCUAAUCUAAUAAAGUAGGAUAAAACAAGGAUUGUAGUCUGAAAUUCGACUACAUGAAUAAGGAAUUACUAGUAAUCGUGAAUCACCACGUCACGGUGGAUUUAAUCUCAGAUAGGUACUAACUACUCGUCAGGCGCCGAAAGAAGUG
RNAcentral lists this ribosomal RNA (374 nucleotides) under uncultured Chlamydomonas. RNAcentral's name for it is "partial Bacterial small subunit ribosomal RNA". It matches the Rfam family "Bacterial small subunit ribosomal RNA", at positions 1032 to 1415 of the family's 1533-position model. The record is from RNAcentral. Lineage: Eukaryota; Viridiplantae; Chlorophyta; Chlorophyceae; Chlamydomonadales; Chlamydomonadaceae.